RNAcentral lists this small nuclear RNA (20 nucleotides) under Arabidopsis thaliana (thale cress). Its description in RNAcentral is "snRNA_12213". The record is from RNAcentral. Lineage: Eukaryota; Viridiplantae; Streptophyta; Magnoliopsida; Brassicales; Brassicaceae.
CCAAGUUUGGCCUUACGGUC